CUGGCAUGAAUAGAUGAAACAAAAGAAACAUUAUUUCUUGUAAAUGGAUUAUUUUUUUUGAUCAUCCAUCAAUUCAUUUUCUUAGCCGCUUAUCCUCACAAGGGUCGCGGGAGUGCUAGAGCCUAUCCCAGCUGUCGACAGGCAUUAAGCAGGGUACACCCUGAACUGGUUACCAGCCAAUGGCAGGGCACAUCAAGACAAACAACCGCACUCACAAUCACACCUCGGGGCAAUUUAGUCUCUAAUUAAUGUUGCACAUUUUUGGGAUGUGGGAGGAAACCAGAGUGCCUAGAAAAAACCCACGCAGGCACAGGGAGAACUUGCAAACUCCACAAAGGGUGGGGCCGGGAUUGAACCCGAGUCCUCAGAACUGUGAGGCCAACGCUUUCCAGCUGAUCCACCGUGUCGUCGAUUUAUUGAUUCAACAAUUCGGUAAAAUGUUAUCAUUUCCCUCAGCACACCUAAAAAGUGCUCGCAGCACACUAAUGUUCCACCGCGCACUGGUUGGGAAUCACAGCCGUAGAAGUGAACAUGUGAAUUUUUGUUCUUCUGAAUGUGGCCUGCAAUUGACUGGCGACCAUUCCCGGGUGUACCCUGACUCUCGCUCAGGGUCGGUUACGAUAAGCUCGAGCUUACCUUCGACCUUGUCGAAGACAAGUAAUGUCGAUGACUAAUGGACAGAUGGUGCGGUAUGUAUGUGCUUUAACUUCACUUGCAAUCCAGUAUAAUGUCCUCUGAGAUUUUUUUUUCAGAGGUUCUAAAACCAGAGGAUGUAUUAUAGCUUGAAUUGAUUCCGUUACACACCACCUUGAAUGAAUUGUGUAGUGAUUACAUUCAUCAUGAUGCUGUCAGGACUUAGUUGAAAAUGUAAUGAACAAUUAAACACUAUAUAAGCUUUAAAUUCAGCUAUUUUCCAGUAAAUCCCCACUCCAUGUUGAAUACUGUUUCAUCUAACUUCAGCAAAUAUGGCUGACAUCCUGUGCUGAAAACACAAUACUUGCAAAGUCAUUGUUCAUAUUUGUGAGUGACUUGUUAAUUUAAAACAAUGGUAGAUUUUUUUCAAUAAUGCGCUUGUGACCCGCAAUGCACUCCACAAAUGUAUCCGACAUGCAGGUUCCAAUGAAAACACACAAUUUUUUCCCACAAAAUGCAAUGGUUAAGGUACUGAGGUGAGCUACUUUUGCCAUAAAACAAUUAUGAAUUUAAAAGAAUUGUACUUCUUCAAGAAGAAAAGCUCAGUUUCAUCAUUAAAAAGAACAUUUUGAAGUAACACAAAAGGAUAUAGUUGGUAAACGUGCGCUAAUCUCUUGCGCAACAUUGGGCUAAAGCAUUAAAGCGGAAGUACACACGGUGAAGAACACAUUUUCAAGGACCUAAAUCGGGACAGUGAAGAAUAUUGAAGAGCAAGACGUGAAGUGGACUGACCGUCAGCAACCCGCCCUCUACACUUCAUCCACGGGUCAGGUCGCGGGGAAAGUAGCUUCAGCAGGGAUACCCAGACUUCAACUUUGCCCAGCCACGUCUUCCAGUUCUUCCGGAGGGAUCCCAAGAUGUUCCCAGGCCAACCGAGAGACAAAAUCUCUCCAGCGAGGUUUCAGGGGGCUUCCGGUGGGACAUGCCCGGAACAGCUCACCAGAGAGGCAUCCAGGAGGCAUCCAGAUCAGAUGCCCCAACCAUCUCAUCUGGCUCCUCUCAAUGCGGAGGAGCAAUAAGCCCCUCCCAGAUGACCGAGCUUCUCACCCUGUCUCUAAGGGAGAACCCAGACACGCUGGGGAAGAAACUCAUUUCGGCCACUUUUAUCCGGCAUCUUGUUCUUUCAUGACCCACAGCUCGUGUCCAUAGAUGAGGGUAAGAACGUAGAUCGACUGGUAAACGAAUCAAGUCAAAAUCCAGAAGAAAAUGGCACCAGGCUAACUUCUGUUUGGUAGCUUGGCAAUAAGUGCCAAAUAUGGGCGGGCUAGCACCACGCCAUUGCUGUCCCUGGGGUGGGUGGUGUCUUCAUGGGAGAGUGUCAGGGGUCAGGUCCUGUGAACUUAGUGUUACAGCUUUGAUUAAGGUCAGAGUUAGUGAUGGUUUUACAGUAAGGGUCCGGAGUUAGAUGUUGGAGUUUUCGGGUAUAAGUAUAAAUUGACGUACAAUUCAUGUAAAGGUUAUGGUUGAUGGAUGGGGAAGGGUUAGGAUUAAGGUUUGUAUCAUGGUUCAGGUUUGAGUUUUUGUUAACUUUCGGGCCUUGUCUGGAUUAUGGAUCUUGUUAGGAUUCAGGUCUUUUUGGGGUGUGUUAAGGUUCACGUUACACACUGGAGGCUUGUAAAAAUGAGUUGGAACAAGUUGGAGCUGCAUAUUUUCAGAAUUUAUUUCCAAAUGUAAACUUCACUAUUCCAUGCAUACAAGUUAUGACAACAUACAUUUUUCAACAAUCUUGUUAUUUUUCAUGUUUGCAUAGGACAUGGUCACAAUAGAUCGUCUAACGUAAAAAAUAAUGCCAUAGAAAGGUACAGCAGAGCAGCUAAGACCAGCACAUUACGUAACAUGUGGUUGGAAUCCAAGGUACUGUACAGCUGUAAUACUUGUCGAGUGUAGUGAUUUUGGUUUGCUGAAAGGAAAAAAAUCGCAAAAAGGAACAAAAAUAAACGAGAAGACACCUGAAAGUUAGCAGUGAGGUCAGAUGAGAAUGUACUGGCCAUAGCUGAGUCGAGAGUUAUUUACACACUACGUAAGAGUGAUGCCGGCCCGGAGAGGGAUUGGGGGUGGGAGGGGCGCGGCACCUUGGAGUCACUACAACAGGCAACUGAUGGUGAUGGGACAGAGGAGAAACGCACACGAGGUAUCGAGAGAGCGACAUUGCACUGAGGACAAACAGGGGGGAGGCCAAAGCACACACCUUUGCUACCUCGCAACCUGCACUAAACUCCUCCUCAUAAAGGGCUGCAACAUCCAACCAAAGAAAACAAAACUACACCAGUUGCAGCAUACACACCUCUUUUAUGCUCAUUUCAAGAAAGAUCUGAGAUCCAAGAAUCAAGAAAGGUCCGUUACCAAGUCCGGCCUCUGCCGAACCGAAUUACUGCAACAUUCGUGUUUCCCUUCAUAGGCUUUGGUAACAAUUUCUCCACACCCAAGAAUCACGCCAUCCCACGAAGGAUCCCCUCUCAAAAGUCAUUAACUAAUCUUAAAUGUGUAUUUGAAAAAAGGGCAUACGCCACAUAUGUACAUGAGUCUUGAACGUUGUUCAUUUGAAUGGGCCACACGCAGGCCUCGCUCUUAAGGGCAAAUACGAGGAGAGAUUACACCCGGGAAACAAUGAGGAACGUACCUUGUGCACGACUCACAAUGUGUAAAAACUCACAGUUGGGACACAUUUGUAAGCCCCCCCCC
Syngnathoides biaculeatus (alligator pipefish) is the source of this 3375-nucleotide long non-coding RNA. RefSeq lists it as uncharacterized. NCBI's taxonomy places the organism in Eukaryota, Metazoa, Chordata, Actinopteri, Syngnathiformes, Syngnathidae. The record is from RefSeq and is a predicted model, not a curated record. The transcript is spliced from 2 exons.